RNAcentral lists this ribosomal RNA (501 nucleotides) under uncultured bacterium. RNAcentral describes it as "bacterial SSU rRNA". It matches the Rfam family "Bacterial small subunit ribosomal RNA", at positions 8 to 518 of the family's 1533-position model. The record is from RNAcentral.
AGAGUUUGAUUCUGGCUCAGGAUGAACGCUGGCGGCGCGCCUAACACAUGCAAGUCGAACGGUUAAAGCCCCUUCGGGGGUGCAUAAAGUGGCGAACGGCUGAGUAACACGUGGGCAAUCUGCCCCUCGCACCGGGACAGCCUCGGGAAACCGUGGUUAAUACCGGAUACGCCCCCCUGAGGACAUCCUCUCGGGGGGAAAGCCCCGACGGCGAGGGAUGGGCCCGCGGCCUGUUAGCUUGUUGGUGGGGUAACGGCCCACCAAGGCGAUUAUGGGUAGCUGGGUUGAGAGACCGACCAGCCAGAUUGGGACUGAGACACGGCCCAGACUCCUACGGGAGGCAGCAGUGGGGAAUCUUGCACAAUGGGCGAAAGCCUGAUGCAAGCGACGCCGCGUGCGGGACGAAGGCCUUCGGGUUGUAAACCGCUUUCAGCAGGGACGAGGCCGCGAGGUGACGGUACCUGCAGAAGAAGCCCCGGCUAACUACGUGCCAGCCGCUGC